RNAcentral lists this ribosomal RNA (108 nucleotides) under Periophthalmus magnuspinnatus. Lineage: Eukaryota; Metazoa; Chordata; Actinopteri; Gobiiformes; Gobiidae. The record is from RNAcentral.
CUUAGUGGUCAAAACCUCCUUGUCAAAGCCUGAUCUCGUCAGAUCUCAGAAGCUAAACAAGGCUGGGCCUAGUUAGCAUUUGGAUGGGAAUUCCAGGUGCCAGUAGCA